This 74-nucleotide transfer RNA is filed under the name Armatimonadota bacterium. RNAcentral's name for it is "Armatimonadetes bacterium (glacier metagenome) tRNA-Leu". It matches the Rfam family "tRNA". From Rfam's summary of the family: Transfer RNA (tRNA) molecules are approximately 80 nucleotides in length. The record is from RNAcentral. Lineage: Bacteria; Bacillati; Armatimonadota.
GCCCGGAUAGCUAAUUGGCAAAGCGGCGGUCUCAAAAACCGUGUCUCAUGCGGGUUCAAAUCCCGCUCCGGGUA